This is a ribosomal RNA of Pteropus vampyrus (large flying fox), 119 nucleotides long. The record is from Ensembl. Lineage: Eukaryota; Metazoa; Chordata; Mammalia; Chiroptera; Pteropodidae.
GUCUACAGCCAUGCUACCCUGAACAAGCCCGAUCCCAUUUGAUCCUGGAAGCUAAGCAGGGUCAGAUCUGGUUAGUAUUUGGAUGGGAGACCAUCUAGGAAGACCAGGUGUCGUAGGUG